GUAGUUCAGCUGGUUAGAAUGCUGGCCUGUCACGCCGGAGGUCGCGGGUUCGAGUCCCGUC
This 61-nucleotide transfer RNA is filed under the name Stenotrophomonas maltophilia. RNAcentral's name for it is "tRNA-Asp". It matches the Rfam family "tRNA", at positions 7 to 64 of the family's 71-position model. Rfam says of the family: Transfer RNA (tRNA) molecules are approximately 80 nucleotides in length. Their secondary structure includes four short double-helical elements and three loops (D, anti-codon, and T loops). Lineage: Bacteria; Pseudomonadati; Pseudomonadota; Gammaproteobacteria; Lysobacterales; Lysobacteraceae. The record is from RNAcentral.